Grammomys surdaster is the source of this 156-nucleotide long non-coding RNA. RefSeq lists it as uncharacterized. The record is from RefSeq and is a predicted model, not a curated record. Lineage: Eukaryota; Metazoa; Chordata; Mammalia; Rodentia; Muridae. The transcript is spliced from 3 exons.
AGGUUUGUUGGAGCCAUCUUCUGAGGAGAGAAGAAAGAGAAGAUUGGCAACUCAUCCAACUUGUUUUGAGACACUUUAAGGUAAUGAUGCCUUCCACACAGAGACCAUUGUUAGUUUCCCACCAUACAUGUUAAUGUUGACCUUUAAACUGGGCGA